Leopardus geoffroyi (Geoffroy's cat) is the source of this 230-nucleotide long non-coding RNA. RefSeq lists it as uncharacterized. The transcript has 3 exons. The record is from RefSeq and is a predicted model, not a curated record. NCBI's taxonomy places the organism in Eukaryota, Metazoa, Chordata, Mammalia, Carnivora, Felidae.
AACCUUCAUACUGUUGUCCAGAGUUGCUGCACCAAUCUGUAUGUCUUCUUUGGAAAAGUAUCUAUCCAUGUCUUCUGCCCAUUUCUUAACUGGGUUGUUUGUUUUUCGAAUGUUGAAUUUGAUAAUUGCUUCACAGAUUUUGGGUACUAACCUUUUAUCAGAUAUGUUGUUUGCAAUUAUCUUCUCCCACCCUGUAGGCUUCCUUUUAGUUUUGUUGAUUGUUUCUUUCA